CCUACGGGUGGCAGCAGUGGGGAAUAUUGGGCAAUGGGCGCAAGCCUGACCCAGCAAUGCCGCGUGAAGGAAGAAGGCUUUCGGGUUGUACACUUCUUUGACAGGGGAAGAGCAGAAGACGGUACCCUGAAAACAAGCCACGGCUAACUACUUGCCAGCAGCCGCGGUAAUACGUAGGUGGAAAGCGUUGUCCGGAUUUACUGGGUGUAAAGGGCGGGUAGCCGGGAAGGCAAGUCAGCUGGGAAAUCUGGAGGCUCAACCUCCAAAUUGCAUUUGAAACUGUUUUUCGUGAGUACUGGAGAGGCAGACGGAAUGCCUUGUGUAGCGGUGAAAGGCGUAGAUAUAAGGAGGAACACCAGUGGCGAAGGCGGUCUGCUGGACAGCAACUGACGGUGAGGCGCGAAAGCGUGGGGAGCAAACAGGAUUAGAUACCCUUGUAGUC
This 442-nucleotide ribosomal RNA is filed under the name uncultured bacterium. Its description in RNAcentral is "partial 16S ribosomal RNA". It matches the Rfam family "Bacterial small subunit ribosomal RNA", at positions 338 to 795 of the family's 1533-position model. The record is from RNAcentral.